UGGGGAAUAUUGCACAAUGGGCGCAAGCCUGAUGCAGCCAUGCCGCGUGUAUGAAGAAGGCCUUCGGGUUGUAAAGUACUUUCAGCGGGGAGGAAGGGAGUAAAGUUAAUACCUUUGCUCAUUGACGUUACCCGCAGAAGAAGCACCGGCUAACUCCGUGCCAGCAGCCGCGGUAAUACGGAGGGUGCAAGCGUUAAUCGGAAUUACUGGGCGUAAAGCGCACGCAGGCGGUUUGUUAAGUCAGAUGUGAAAUCCCCGGGCUGAACCUGGGAACUGCAUCUGAUACUGGGAAGCUUGAGUCUCGUAGAGGGGGGUAGAAUUCCAGGUGUAGCGGUGAAAUGCGUAGAGAUCUGGAGGAAUACCGGUGGCGAAGGCGGCCCCCUGGACAAAGACUGACGCUCAGGUGCGAAAGCGUGGGGAGCAAACAGG
RNAcentral lists this ribosomal RNA (429 nucleotides) under Chloroflexota bacterium. RNAcentral's name for it is "Chloroflexi bacterium partial 16S ribosomal RNA". It matches the Rfam family "Bacterial small subunit ribosomal RNA", at positions 355 to 776 of the family's 1533-position model. The record is from RNAcentral. Lineage: Bacteria; Bacillati; Chloroflexota.